UAAAGCCUGUAGGAUUGGGUCGU
Molecule: microRNA, 23 nt
Filed under: Taeniopygia guttata (zebra finch)
Lineage: Eukaryota; Metazoa; Chordata; Aves; Passeriformes; Estrildidae
Description: tgu-miR-2971
Source: miRBase by way of RNAcentral